GGCCGACUAAAAGGAGAACAACACAAUAUCAAAUUAUCUUUGGGGAACAUUUAAUUCGUGAGGCUAAUAAGGGUACAGUCAAUUACAAGUCUUGAACCUCUUGAGAAAAUAAUUAGAAUCAAGCAUCUUUAGAUAGAAAAAAAUAGAGCAAUUUUAUGGACCGGGUUCUAUCACAACAAACCCAUCUAGUAAAAAUAUUUCCUGAUUCGCAUAGGUACAAAAAAUAUUCCUACACAGAGACAACACCAAAGGACAAAAACCACUCUCAGGUAAUGUUAGAUGGAAUCUGGGAAUGUGAUUUUUGAACCAAUCAUGCAAAUAAACUAAAUUUCAAAAAUUAACAAGUAAUAAAUAUUCAAAUGAAAACUCUUUAGACCAACAUCUCCCUCUUCUUUGGCAAGUCACGAAGAAUCGUGAGUCCAGCGUUCACCGGGGAAUAUAGGCAAUACUUGAAGUAAUGACGAGAGAAGCCCCACAAAUUCUGAGUAAAACAGGUGAACCGGGAAGAUUAACUAGAGAUCCAGCAAAGAUAACUUCUGCCCAACAAAUUCAAUGAACGAAACCUUAACUAGGACAGUCAAAUAGAAGAGAUAUCGAUUAAGAGAGUUUUUAAUAAGACAAAGAGUUUAGCAUUAAAGCUAGGAUUAACACAUAUUCAAUUGGUACGGCAGACAGUAAAUCAGAUGGCAUUCAAGUUAAAGAAAACCCAAGGCAGCAUAAUGAGUCAACGUGGAAAAUCUUGAAACCAAAAGAAACAAUAAUAAUACUAAGAUUAGCAUAAAAAUUCUCUUGUAAGAAAAAUCAUAAUAAAGUCAUGAACUUUUUGCACAAACAGUCAAGACAGUGAAUUAAACACGACCAAAAUACCCACACCACAUAAUGACGGAUACAAUCAUCGUCACAAGAAUCCUAGGGCCUUCACGGCUCAGAGCAGACAAUUCCCAAGCAUCUCUAAAGCUAAUAACGCCACUAACAGAUCAUUGACAAGAGGAAAACAUCGAAACUAAACCUAACAGAUCAAUGACAAGACGAAAACAUCGAAACUAAAACUAACAGAUUAAUGACAAGGAGAAAACGUCGAAACUAAAAAGGAUGAUAUAUUUACCUCUUAUAGGAUAGUAAAACGGGACCUCGAACUAAGUCAGAAUCAGCCUCCACCGAAACACGUCGUCGUAGUCGGUUUAGAAACUCUAAUUACUAACCAAAUUCCCAAAGAAAAAUAAAAAAAUUUAGCUAAAAGAACUACAUUUUUUCCUUUACUCAAGGCCCUCUUUUCUCUUUUUCAGGACCCCUCUUUUUGCUCUCAAGAGAGCUAUUUAGAGAAGAUCCCCCCUUCAGAAAAAUACACCCAAAAGAAUAUCCUCCCAAAAAUCCAUUUUCUUGCUCUAAAGAGAUUUAUAUAUAGAGAACAGAGAAAAACCCUUUUUCAAAAGUUUUUCCACCGAUGUGGGAUAAAGUCCUUCAGAGGAAAAUUGGGGAAUUCCUCAAAAAGGAAUUCAAAAUUUGAACUCCAUAUCAAAUUCCCCCAACAAAAUUGGUAUUUUUUGAGGGAAUUCAAUGGGGGGUUGGCCAAUAGAAUUUUUUUGCAAAACGAAUUCCCUCAAGAACCAAUAGAAAUCCACCAAAUAUGUACGAAAUAGUACCAUCGUGGUCGAGAUUUGCGCAAUUAGUGUUAUGGUACGUGAGGUGUCCAAUUUCUAGAAAUUUCAUUAAAGAAACACAUUGAAUUCGCGGGUCGGACCCAGAUUCAGGUUUUUUGGGUUUGCGGGUUUGGCGGUUUGGAGCAUACCGUCGACGUUGGUGUUCGUUAGUCGCAAUUUUGGGCUGUUUUUUUUUGUAUCGAUGGUGCUGCUGGGUUUGAUA
This 1863-nucleotide long non-coding RNA is filed under the name Capsicum annuum. RNAcentral's name for it is "long non-coding RNA (CANN_LNC002287)". Lineage: Eukaryota; Viridiplantae; Streptophyta; Magnoliopsida; Solanales; Solanaceae. The record is from RNAcentral.